ACAAUUUAUAUAUAUAUAUACACACACACACACACACACACACACACCACUUGAGAUGAUAUACCAAUGCACAUCUAGCUGCUGAAAAUGCUCCAAAAUGAUAUGCAAUUAUAGCCAUCCUACUACACUAAGAACAUGAAGCCUUUACCAUUUGUCCUUUAAUUAAGAGCACCCGUAAUUUAUAUAUGUGUACUAAAUAAAACCACACAGGCAUUAACUAUAUAGUUCCUUACCAAAUCUUCUUUUCCACAGUUGCAGUCCAUAGUAUAUGCUUUCCCUCAUCAACAAUCGCGUAGACAUCACCUACACGGGCACCAAUGAUUAAUAACCACUUUUGACCAAAUUCCUACUCAAAACAAAAUCUGGGAUAAACCUUACCUCUUCUCAAUCUUAACCAAAUUGACCACCAACAUAGGUUCAUAAUACAGAUUAAUAGCUCAAAUAUAUACAAAUCAUUAGAUAUAUAAAUACUACAGCAUCACCUACUGUCACAUCCCGACCCUUAUAUUUUUACCUUAUUUACUAGCGUGAUUAUAAUAAGAAUUUUACCGUCUCGAUCAUUGAGUAAAUAGUUUAAUUGGUCCCUAGAGGGGUUUCGGGGACGAUUAUGUGCGGAGGAUUAUUCGUAUGAGGAAAAUACGAUGACGGUAAAAAUAGUAAAUUUUAGCUAGUAAAAGGUAAUUUUUAUUCGGGUAUUAUUUUUCGGGGUGUUGAAUUUUGGAAUUAUGGGUUAAAAGGGGUGUUGGGUCGGCUGGGCCGAGCCCAACCCAUUUCUUCUUCUUUCUCUUCUCCCUCCCUCUCGAUUUUUCUUCUCCUCCCACCCGAUUUCUUCUCUCUACACCCAGCAAACUUCCGGCCGUCCUCCCGCCGCCGUCCGACCUCCGUUCGCCGCCGGACCGGUCCCGUUCGGUCGGUCUCCCUCCCAGCUUCCAUUCUAGGCCGGUAGCAGCCCCCCCUAGCGCCGCCGUGAGUGAGCGGUUGCCGCCC
RNAcentral lists this long non-coding RNA (987 nucleotides) under Fragaria vesca (wild strawberry). RNAcentral describes it as "long non-coding RNA (FVES_LNC004279)". The record is from RNAcentral. Lineage: Eukaryota; Viridiplantae; Streptophyta; Magnoliopsida; Rosales; Rosaceae.